GAUGAACGCUGGCGGCGUGCCUAAUACAUGCAAGUCGAGCGAACGGACGAGAAGCUUGCUUCUCUGAUGUUAGCGGCGGACGGGUGAGUAACACGUGGAUAACCUACCUAUAAGACUGGGAUAACUUCGGGAAACCGGAGCUAAUACCGUAUAAUAUUUUGAACCGCAUGGUUCAAAAGUGAAAGACGGUCUUGCUGUCACUUAUAGAUGGAUCCGCGCUGCAUUAGCUAGUUGGUAAGGUAACGGCUUACCAAGGCAACGAUGCAUAGCCGACCUGAGAGGGUGAUCGGCCACACUGGAAGUGAGACACGGUCCAGACUCCUACGGGAGGCAGCAGUAGGGAAUCUUCCGCAAUGGGCGAAAGCCUGACGGAGCAACGCCGCGUGAGUGAUGAAGGUCUUCGGAUCGUAAAACUCUGUUAUUAGGGAAGAACAUAUGUGUAAGUAACUGUGCACAUCUUGACGGUACCUAAUAAGAAAGCCACGGCUAACUACGUG
Molecule: ribosomal RNA, 497 nt
Filed under: uncultured bacterium
Lineage: Bacteria
Description: partial 16S ribosomal RNA
Rfam family: Bacterial small subunit ribosomal RNA
Source: RNAcentral